GGCUCGGAACCUAUAGCUCAGCAGCUGGGGUGCCAGCCAU
This 40-nucleotide non-coding RNA is filed under the name Otolemur garnettii (small-eared galago). The record is from RNAcentral. Lineage: Eukaryota; Metazoa; Chordata; Mammalia; Primates; Galagidae.